GAAGAGAUGAAAAUGACUCUGCUGCAGAUCACCCAAGCAGCAGCGAUUCUGACACAGCAAAAAUACACUUUCUCCCAGCGAGCAUUGGAAUUAAGGGAGCAUAACUCAGUCUGCAGGAGCAUCACUGGUUGUUCGCAAGACUCGUUUGACAACAGAGAGAAACUGAACCUUUCGUGGCGCAAGGAAGGCGCUUGCUCUGCGCCCGAGGACACCUGGCUGGCAGUCAGAAGCACAAAAGCCACAGGGGGAGGGGCUGCUUCCAAGCCUGGGACUGGGGGAGAACCUCGCCUCUGCUUCGCCUGGGGGACAGGGAUGUCCAUCCCGGCUCACAAACCCCCCAAAAUAAAUUAACGGACAAGCGCGGGUCGUGCCCUUUCGGUACCCUCGGAAGGUUAGGGGAGACCUGCCCCUUUCCCCCCAUAGACUUCCGCCUGAGACCCCCAAAGGGCGACUUGCCGGGUUCGCUGCCCCUCUGGCGUUUUAUUUUGGAUCGCUUUGUUUGAUGUUUCAAUGAAGGCGGUAAAUUCUUUUAAUGUUAUUAUGGGUGUGAAAUAUGUAGGCGGGGGUGUUUAUUGGGUUGUCUUUGUUUUUAUUUGAUUAUGUGUUUUGUGUUUUUAUAUCGUAAUUCCAUCCUGUGAACCCCCAAAUUUAAUGAACAAAUAAAUGGAUAAAUCGAAA
This is a long non-coding RNA of Podarcis raffonei (Aeolian wall lizard), 678 nucleotides long. RefSeq lists it as uncharacterized. Lineage: Eukaryota; Metazoa; Chordata; Lepidosauria; Squamata; Lacertidae. The transcript is spliced from 2 exons. The record is from RefSeq and is a predicted model, not a curated record.